GAGCAGGUUGCGUGUCUGGCCUGGUUCACCUUGCCAAGGUGAGGGUCGCCAGUUCGAAUCUGGUCGCCCGCUCU
This 74-nucleotide transfer RNA is filed under the name Actinomycetota bacterium. Its description in RNAcentral is "tRNA-Gly". The record is from RNAcentral. Lineage: Bacteria; Bacillati; Actinomycetota.